RNAcentral lists this microRNA (21 nucleotides) under Picea abies (Norway spruce). RNAcentral's name for it is "pab-miR11420b". The record is from miRBase by way of RNAcentral. Lineage: Eukaryota; Viridiplantae; Streptophyta; Pinopsida; Pinales; Pinaceae.
GGCCGAUUCCGUCAUAAACCG